RNAcentral lists this ribosomal RNA (774 nucleotides) under uncultured Neocallimastigales. RNAcentral describes it as "partial large subunit ribosomal RNA". It matches the Rfam family "Eukaryotic large subunit ribosomal RNA", at positions 22 to 637 of the family's 3401-position model. The record is from RNAcentral. Lineage: Eukaryota; Fungi; Neocallimastigomycota; Neocallimastigomycetes; Neocallimastigales.
GUACACGCUGUGACUAGCAUAUCAAUAAGCGGAGGAAAAGAAACUAACAAGGAUUCCCCUAGUAACGGCGAGUGAAGCGGGAAGAGCUCAAAUUUGAAAUCUUAAAGGGUUUCCCUUUACGAAUUGUAGUUUAAAGAAGUGUUUUCUGUUGAGGUUUUGGUAGAAGUUCUUUGGAAUAGGACAUCAUAGAGGGUGAGAAUCCCGUAUUUGACCUUUACCUUCAACUUUGUGAUACACUUUCAAAGAGUCGGAUUGUUUGGGAAUGCAGUCCAAAAUGGGUGGUAAAUUUCAUCUAAAGCUAAAUAUUGGCGAGAGACCGAUAGCGAACAAGUACCGUGAGGGAAAGAUGAAAAGAACUUUGAAAAGAGAGUUAAACAGUACGUGAAAUUGUCAAAAGGGAAGCGUUUGACACCAGUGUUGUUUUUCUGAAAAUCAAUUAAAGAGCUGUUUAUGCUAAGUUGUUUAGACUUUAUCAGCUAACUGUUUAGUUUUGAGCUUUUCUUUAAUGCACUUUUCAGUUAACAAGUCAACAUCAAUUUCUUUUGCUGUAAAAAAGCUUGAGGAAGGUGGCUUGAGAUUCGUCUUAAGUGUUUAUAGCCUCUUGCCUAUGCAGUCGGAGAGAUUGAGGUCUGCAGCGUAGAUCCUUCGGGGCUAAAUGCAUUUGUGCUAAGUUAUAGCAUUUUAUAGACAACUUGUUGACUAUGAUUUGUCUUGUAGCUUACUCGCUUAUGUUAUUUUACCUACGCUUAGGAUGUUGACAGCAGUAUAGACUGU